UGGCUCAGAUGGUAAAGUGUCUGCCUGCAAUGCAGGAGACCUGGGUUCGAUCCCUG
Molecule: non-coding RNA, 56 nt
Organism: Bos taurus (domestic cattle)
Lineage: Eukaryota; Metazoa; Chordata; Mammalia; Artiodactyla; Bovidae
Source: Rfam